Molecule: long non-coding RNA, 316 nt
Filed under: Mytilus galloprovincialis (Mediterranean mussel)
Lineage: Eukaryota; Metazoa; Mollusca; Bivalvia; Mytilida; Mytilidae
Source: RNAcentral
UUCAUAUUUUGGACAAAUUCAUUUGGUCCAUUUUAUUAAUGAUGCUUAAGUGUUUAUUAAGAGUAUAUUGCAAGUAUUGUUAUAAAAAAAUACAAUCCAUAAAAAUUGAACAUGAGAAAUCAAAAGUUAACUACAAAUCUUCUUUAAAUCGAAACAACCCAGAAAGAAGAAAAAGAAUAGAAAGAAACAAUUAAAUAUGAACGGAAAAAAAUAUUGACACUUAAAUAUGAACGGAAACAUAUAUUGACAAUUAUAUAUACUAGUAAAUUAAAAUAUGGUACAUUUUGUAAUUUUCAUUAUUAAAACAUAUCGCGAC